This 253-nucleotide ribosomal RNA is filed under the name uncultured bacterium. RNAcentral describes it as "partial 16S ribosomal RNA". It matches the Rfam family "Bacterial small subunit ribosomal RNA", at positions 524 to 776 of the family's 1533-position model. The record is from RNAcentral.
UACAGAGGGUGCGAGCGUUAAUCGGAGUGACUGGGCGUAAAGGGCGCGUAGGCGGAUUUUUAAGUCAGGGGUGAAAUCCCAGGGCUCAACCCUGGAACGGCCUUUGAUACUGGGGAUCUGGAGUUCGGGAGAGGUGAGUGGAAUUCCGAGUGUAGAGGUGAAAUUCGUAGAUAUUCGGAGGAACACCAGAAGCGAAGGCGGCUCACUGGCCCGAUACUGACGCUGAGGCGCGAAAGCGUGGGGAGCAAACAGG